RNAcentral lists this ribosomal RNA (447 nucleotides) under uncultured bacterium. RNAcentral describes it as "bacterial SSU rRNA". It matches the Rfam family "Bacterial small subunit ribosomal RNA", at positions 355 to 825 of the family's 1533-position model. The record is from RNAcentral.
UCGGGAAUUUUGGGCAAUGGGCGAAAGCCUGACCCAGCAACGCCGCGUGAAGGAUGAAGUAUUUCGGUAUGUAAACUUCGAAAGAAUAGGAAGAAUAAAUGACGGUACUAUUUAUAAGGUCCGGCUAACUACGUGCCAGCAGCCGCGGUAAUACGUAGGGACCAAGCGUUGUUCGGAUUUACUGGGCGUAAAGGGCGCGUAGGCGGCAAUUCAAGUCAUCUGUGAAAUCUCCGGGCUUAACUCGGAACGGUCAGAUGAUACUGCUUUGCUAGAGUGCAGAAGGGGCAAUCGGAAUUCUUGGUGUAGCGGUGAAAUGCGUAGAUAUCAAGAGGAACACCUGAGGUGAAGACGGGUUGCUGGGCUGACACUGACGCUCAUGCACGAAAGCGUGGGGAGCAAACAGGAUUAGAUACCCAUGUAGUCCCUGAGCGGGCUGGCAAGGCGCAU